This 208-nucleotide ribosomal RNA is filed under the name uncultured bacterium. Its description in RNAcentral is "partial 16S ribosomal RNA". It matches the Rfam family "Bacterial small subunit ribosomal RNA", at positions 568 to 774 of the family's 1533-position model. The record is from RNAcentral.
UCCGCAGGUGGGACGGUCAGUCUGUGGUGACAGCCCCUGGCUUAACUGGGGGGAGGCCCAUGGAUACUGCCGUUCUUGAGUCACGGAGAGGGAAGCGGAAUUCCGGGUGUAGUGGUGGAAUGCGUAGAGAUCCGGAGGAACUCCAAAGGCGCAAGCAGCUUCCUGGCCGAGGACUGACACUGAGGGACGAAAGCGUGGGGAGCAAACA